Poecilia latipinna (sailfin molly) is the source of this 473-nucleotide long non-coding RNA. RefSeq lists it as uncharacterized. The record is from RefSeq and is a predicted model, not a curated record. The transcript has 2 exons. NCBI's taxonomy places the organism in Eukaryota, Metazoa, Chordata, Actinopteri, Cyprinodontiformes, Poeciliidae.
CGUUUAAUAGAUUUGUCUCAAGUAAAUAAAUGUACACAAUUCUGCCUGUCUGCAUAGCGGAGCAUCUGAGAAAAGACACAAAGGGCUGAAAGUGUGUUGUGGGACUCACGUCUCUGAGCUUUCAGCUUCCAGUACAGAUUGCACAGGCAGGUUGUCUGCCGCCGUCCAGGGAAGCGCGUGGAGGAGGGGGCGAAAAGUGGAGGUUGAAGCACAGGGCAUGGAUGAUUGAAAGACAAAUUGCACUGCUUUAGAGUUGCCAUCUCCAGAGACCACCUCAUGUAAAAUGUAUCCACUUUUUUCCCCUCCAAUACUAAUGUUUCCUUCUAUCCACCGCCUCUACAUUAUUGCUCUGUUUAAAAUCUUCUGUUUGUCAUCAUAUCUGUCAGUAAUUUUUACAUGCUUGCCUGCUGCGAGAACCGUAGCCUGCUAUAUAAAAACAUUUUUGCAGAAAAUAAAAAUACUGCUGGAUUUUA